Molecule: ribosomal RNA, 465 nt
Filed under: uncultured bacterium
Lineage: Bacteria
Description: partial 16S ribosomal RNA
Rfam family: Bacterial small subunit ribosomal RNA
Source: RNAcentral
GACGAACGCUGGCGGCGUGCUUAACACAUGCAAGUCGAACGGAAAGGCCCUGCUUGCAGGGUACUCGAGUGGCGAACGGGUGAGUAACACGUGGGUGAUCUGCCCUGCACUUCGGGAUAAGCCUGGGAAACUGGGUCUAAUACCGGAUAGGAGCCAUUUUUAGUGUGAUGGUUGGAAAGUUUUUUCGGUGUAGGAUGAGCUCGCGGCCUAUCAGCUUGUUGGUGGGGUAAUGGCCUACCAAGGCGGCGACGGGUAGCCGGCCUGAGAGGGUGGACGGCCACAUUGAGACUGAGAUACGGCCCAGACUCCUACGGGAGGCAGCAGUGGGGAAUAUUGCACAAUGGGCGCAAGCCUGAUGCAGCGACGCCGCGUGGGGGAUGACCGCCUUCGGGUUGUAAACUCCUUUCGCUAGGGACGAAGCUUUUUGUGACGGUACCUAGAUAAGAAGCACCGGCUAACUACGUG